RNAcentral lists this small nuclear RNA (121 nucleotides) under Mesocricetus auratus (golden hamster). Its description in RNAcentral is "U1 spliceosomal RNA (ENSMAUG00000004375.1)". It matches the Rfam family "U1 spliceosomal RNA", at positions 1 to 120 of the family's 166-position model. From Rfam's summary of the family: U1 is a small nuclear RNA (snRNA) component of the spliceosome (involved in pre-mRNA splicing). Its 5' end forms complementary base pairs with the 5' splice junction, thus defining the 5' donor site of an intron. Lineage: Eukaryota; Metazoa; Chordata; Mammalia; Rodentia; Cricetidae. The record is from RNAcentral.
AUAUUUACCUGGAAAUGAAGAUACCAUGAUCAUGAAGGUGGUUUUCCCAGAGUGAGGCUUACCUACUGCACUCUGGAUAUGCUGACCCCUGGGAUUUCCUGAGGGGGGGGCGGGUCUCAGC